This 459-nucleotide ribosomal RNA is filed under the name uncultured bacterium. RNAcentral's name for it is "partial 16S ribosomal RNA". It matches the Rfam family "Bacterial small subunit ribosomal RNA", at positions 338 to 795 of the family's 1533-position model. The record is from RNAcentral.
CCUACGGGUGGCAGCAGUGAGGAAUAUUGGUCAAUGGGCGCGAGCCUGAACCAGCCAAGUAGCGUGAAGGAUGACUGCCCUACGGGUUGUAAACUUCUUUUAUAAAGGAAUAAAGUGAGGCACGUGUGCCUUUUUGUAUGUACUUUAUGAAUAAGGAUCGGCUAACUCCGUGCCAGCAGCCGCGGUAAUACGGAGGAUGCGAGCGUUAUCCGGAUUUAUUGGGUUUAAAGGGUGCGUAGGCGGAUUUUUAAGUCAGCGGUAAAAUGUCCGGGCUCAACCCGGGCCGGCCGUUGAAACUGGGGAUCUUGAGUGGGCGAGAAGUAUGCGGAAUGCGUGGUGUAGCGGUGAAAUGCAUAGAUAUCACGCAGAACUCCGAUUGCGAAGGCAGCAUACCGGCGCCCGACUGACGCUGAGGCACGAAAGCGUGGGGAUCGAACAGGAUUAGAUACCCCUGUAGUC